UAGCAUAUCAAUAAGCGGAGGAAAAGAAACCAACCGGGAUUGCCUCAGUAACGGCGAGUGAAGCGGCAAGAGCUCAAAUUUGAAAUCUGGCCCCCUCGGGGUCCGAGUUGUAAUUUGCAGAGGAUGCUUCGGGUGCGGCCCCCGUCUAAGUGCCCUGGAACGGGCCGUCAUAGAGGGUGAGAAUCCCGUCUGGGACGGGGUGUCCGCGUCCGUGUGAAGCUCCUUCGACGAGUCGAGUUGUUUGGGAAUGCAGCUCUAAAUGGGUGGUAAAUUUCAUCUAAAGCUAAAUACUGGCCGGAGACCGAUAGCGCACAAGUAGAGUGAUCGAAAGAUGAAAAGCACUUUGAAAAGAGAGUUAAAAAGCACGUGAAAUUGUUGAAAGGGAAGCGCUUGCGACCAGACUCGCCCGCGGGGUUCAGCCGGCAUUCGUGCCGGUGUACUUCCCCGCGGGCGGGCCAGCGUCGGUUUGGGCGGCCGGUCAAAGGCCCCCGGAAUGUAGCACCCUUCGGGGUGCCUUAUAGCCGGGGGUGCAAUGCGGCCAGCCUGGACCGAGGAACGCGCUUCGGCACGGACGCUGGCAUAAUGGUCGUAAACGACCCGUCUUGAAACACGGACCAAGGAGUCUAACAUCUACGCGAGUGUUCGGGUGUCAAACCCGUGCGCGCAGUGAAAGCGAACGGAGGUGGGAGCCCCCCCGCGGGGCGCACCAUCGACCGAUCCUGAUGUCUUCGGAUGGAUUUGAGUAAGAGCGUAAAUGUGGGGACCCGAAAGAUGGUGAACUAUGCCUGAAUAGGGCGAAGCCAGAGGAAACUCUGGUGGAGGCUCGCAGCGGUUCUGACGUGCAAAUCGAUCGUCAAAUUUGGGUAUAGGGGCGAAAGACUAAUCGAACCAUCUGGUAGCUGGUUCCUGCGA
Molecule: ribosomal RNA, 912 nt
Filed under: Aspergillus melleus
Lineage: Eukaryota; Fungi; Ascomycota; Eurotiomycetes; Eurotiales; Aspergillaceae
Description: LSU rRNA
Rfam family: Eukaryotic large subunit ribosomal RNA
Source: RNAcentral